CAUGAGACGACCAGUUUCCCUUCACCAGAUAAAGGUGAAGGACAACAAGGAAGGCAAGGUGGUGUCCAAAAAGAGCCUGCUGGAGUGCCAGUCUCUUGCCAAGGCCAAAAUCCCUCAAGUGCUGAGUAAGUUUUUCUCAAUCUGUGAUGUCACUGUUUUUACACACUUAUAGAGAUGUAUAGAAUGCAUUAUGGAGUGGGAUUAUGAAGCUGCCUUUUUUUAUUUUCAUGUUCACAGAAACAUUGGAAGAAACAAGGACACAGAGGAAUCAGUACAGGUUUUAUGGGUACCUGUGUGCCUACUUUACAUCCAUAUACGGCCACAGACCAGGCCUAUAUAAAAACAUGUUGGUGAAAGAGGUGGAGGAGGCAAAAUGUGACCAGUCUGGGGUGUACCUGAUCAAUGUGGGGGAACACAAAACAAAUCGGGAGUACGGCAUGGUCCAGAUGUCGCUGACAAAGGAGGAGUACAGCUGGUUUUCCGACUUCCUCAAAUUCAAGCACUGUCUCUUAGGGGGAAAGAAGGCCCAGCACUUCUUUUUCAAUUCAACAAACACUCAGAUGAAGAACCUGCCUGCCUACCUGAGGGAGGUGUGGAAGGAGAUGGGUCUGCCCGAAUGUCCUUCAUUCACUGACCUGAGGACCUCCAUUGUCACUCAUGUAGGUCAGAUUAGAUAGGAAUCUAAUUAAUGUAAGAUCCUAUUCUAUUGUUGUCUGAAGUAAUAUCAAUAAUAUCAUAUAUUUGUGUGUGUGUGUGUGUGUGUGUCUUACAGGUAAAAAACAUGCUCCCAAAGGUUGACAGGGAAAGGGUGGCCAACUUCAUGUGCCACAACAUCCAGACGGCAGACAAAUAUUAUGCCAUGAAUUUAAAUCCAACCCAAGCAAAUGAAACCAGGGCACUCUUUGAGGCUGCACUGAAGGGGGAAGAUAACACAGUCGCCGCAGAGAACCAGCCCUCCACCUCAGGAGAAAGAAAGCAGAAGGUGAGAGAGGAUGCCUCCCUCUCCGACGGGAGCACCACCCCUGAAGAGACCAAGGUGAUGUACCAGGAGUCUGGCACGUCCGCCGGUGACUCGGAAGAGGAGGAAGAGGAUGAAGAUGAGGAACAGAUGGCCAGACAACUUCCAGUAAGAUCAGCUAUUCUGACAGGACACAUUUGAUUAUCAAAAUGUACUUGUAAACUAUGUAACAGUCAAGUGUGAAUUCUGAGAUAUAUCUAAUUUCUUGUGUUUGCUCUGUCAGGAGACACCUUCCAAGGUGACCAAUCCUCAGGUGGAGAUGGAACUUACCCCAAAGAGGAAGCGGAGCAUCUGCACACGCCGCAUGGAGGUCGCCAUCAGCCCCAUGCUAGUCUCACCCCUCAAAGUGAGGCUCAAGUCGCCCCCCCACCAGUCCCUCAUUGUCACAUUAAAAGGGAUGCAACAACUAAACUCAAAUAAAGUCAGACUAAAAAAUGCCAUUGCCUCAAGGAGGUUAAAGCUGCAGGAGAAGGUGCAAAAGAGAGGAGGGGACCCCUGAUGCAGCUCGAAGGAAGGGGAGCCGACCAACAACAAGACUUCCUCUUCCAAAUAGUCAUGUAGAUUGUUUUAGACUCUCACAUUUAUACUGUUCUGAUUUUGUUUGGUUUGAUUUUCAAUUUUGGUGUGCUUGUUUACAUUUUAGAAGUGUAAAAUGUGUGUAAUUUAGUCUAACUGUCUGUUCAAUUUUCUAUUUUGGUGUGAUUCUUUAUAAUGUAAAGGUUUGUUCUGUUUUAUUAAAUAACUAGUUUAGUAAUUAUUUGUGUUGUGCUUUCUUUAAGGUUAUAUUCUAACUGUCUGUUCAAUUUUCUAUUUUGGUGUGAUUCUUUAUAAUGUAAAGGUUUGUUCUGUUUUAUUAAAUAACUAGUUGAGUAAUUCUUUGUGUUGUGCUUUCUUUAAGGUUUAUAUUUAGUUUGUCACUUAAUUUGUAAGUGUUAAACAUUCACUGUCUUGUGUUGUUGUCUGUGAAGGUAGGAACAAAUAUUUAGGCAUUAUUGGCAUGGGAAUCAUAUGUUUACAUUGGCAAAGCAAAUUAAGUAGAUAAUAAACAAAAGUGAAAUAAACAAUAAAGUCCUGCUGUAGACUGUACUACUGCUGUUCAGGAAGCACAAUUUGAACUAGAAACUUACACAGACAGGCUGAAAUAAACACUAAAAAAUAACAAAUGGCAUCACCGUAAUAUCCCGCUUGACCGUAGCUCGCUCGGUCUGAGCGCAGCGACCAUGAGAAAAGUAAGCCCAAAAUGAAGCCUGCCCCACAACGUAAUUUGCUUUUGGGUGACAGUGAGAGAACCGUUAGGUUUAGAAGGACAAUUCAACCACAGGAAUGUUCCUAACGUCCUUCCGAUCCAUGCAAGCCUUACCUUGACCGUGUGGCAUCAACCCUUAAAAAUAAAACAGGGUUUUUUGAUCUCACAGAUUACAAUGACAUCUCUCCCCAUAGGAAUACAUUGACAGCUCCCCUAAAUUCAACCUGGAGCCUAUGUGGGUUAAUAAUGCCUUAUGAACCUGUCUUCAAUGCCAAUCCAUCAGGCCACUAUGAGGUCUACCUGUGUCGAUUCUAAGCUUCCUGGAGCAACCGGAAGUGGUUAAAUUCACCCAAAAUGUAUUUUGAUGUACAUAACCUGCAAAUGUGAAAAUGACUGCAUUCAACCCUGGGUAGAUCAGUCAAUUCUUAACAUAAAGACUUUAGGAUUCUCAGGAUUCUGUAAGAGAAUACCCAAAGCAAGAUAUUUGUUUACCUAUAGCUUCCUGUGCCAACCGGAAGUGCCUUUAAUUGGUGUCUCAGGGGCUUCUCCUUAGGAGGGAUGGGGACACCACCACGGGACAGACCCCACACUCAUCGCUAGAGAUCGAACUUCAGACUCCCUUCAAAACCACUGAACCCCUCAACACACCGAAAGAGAUUACGGUGCACACCCUUAGAGGGAGCCGGAACAGGAUAACUCCCUCCACCAUCACAGAGACACAGAGGAGGAGGAACUAUCCAACACCCAGGGAGAGAGAACAAGUGACGUCAGUCGAACACAGUCAGAAAGAGGAGGUGGAAGAGGCGUUAGAUAGAGGAGGAUAUUACCCCAGAGGCCAUUCCUCCUGUUCAUGUGAGCAAGAAAGAGCAGAAGGCUUCUGAUCAGCCAAAUGGCAGGCAGAGGGAGAGGUCAUAGUGAUUCACACCCACAGAGAGAAAGACAACCCACACAACCUCUUGGUUGAGAUGAACCACACAGGUAGAGGCAGAGGGCCUUCAGGGCUAGCCAGUCAGCCUGCCUGCUCUGAUCCUCAAGUCAAUUGUAUAUAAAUUCAUGUUCAUUAAAGAUUUUUAUUCAAGAAUUGACAAGUCCCAUUUCGUUAAAGGGGUCACCCUUUUCCUGCUACAAACACAACUUGCAUAUCAUCACAGACUAGGCCAAAACGUUAAUCUUUUAACCUUGCCUGAAUAAAACAAUGCAUUUUUUAUAGUGAGCAAGAGUUGCUCCUUUUCCUUUUCUAUGAUGAUUCAAAUAUUUGGUUGCACCUCAACUGAACGUUGGUUGAGGGCCCCUUUUUUUUAAUUAAAAGCAUUAAAAUUGUGAUGUUUCUCACUUAUUUACAUAACCUACUCCACACUUGCAAAGUGAAAGUUUAUAGAAAUGUUCUGAAAUUAAGUAGUAAACAGAAGAAAAGCAGAAUUGAGUCCAAUUAUAAUGCAAAUAAUUGAAUGGUCUAUGGUUCAAUCCCAUUUCUGAAGGUCUGAUGAAUAAUUAAUAUUGUUUCUCCUCUUCCUUGUGGCAGGGGCAGCAGCACACUGCCCUCCAAAGCCUGCAAAAUAAUAGCCGGACUGCCCCUUUCCUAGCUCUGCAUGGAACUUCCAGUGCCACGUCCUUGGUGACGUGUGGGGUGACAUCCGGGAUGACCACAGCAACAUCCUCUGGAAAGGGAAAAAAGAGGAACAGAAUGUGAACAAAUGCAAACCGUAGCUUCUAAACACUGGCCAGUUGAAAGGUUCUACUAAGAUGUCAUGACAAACGGCACCUGUCAGAGUGCUCUCUAAGUCUCUCUCUCUUGGGUGCUCUGAAUGGCCUUCCUCUGGCUGAAGCCACAGGGCCAGGAGGAGCCUGGGCACCACCUCCACCACCACCUGAGAUGGGCUGAGCAGGUUGCUACGGGGCUCAUUGGACUGCUCGCCCAGAAUGCUCCUCACAGCUCUUUCCACGGUGCUGUGGACCUUAGGAUCGCUGAAUUCAACAAUAAGGAGAAAACAAAGCUAAACGAUGUGCAAUGUACUCACUUAGAACACUUUCUUAGUCUGUUUCUGCGUAGUUCCAGAUGUGUAGAUAAAUGGAUCAAGUCAUAUGCGGGGCAGUACAUGGAACUCACAUGUCAGCUGGCGAGGUGGGGUGCAUGGAGCGGCGGAGCUUGCAGAAAGCCUUGUGCUCUAUGUUCAUCAUUUUUAGGCAAGUGUUUACUUCCCAGGCCUGCAGUAUGAAACAGGAAGUCCCAUUAGUGUAAUUUCACAACAGAUCUAUCCUGCUGCGCUAACUCGUUGUUGAAAGGCUGGUAAAGAGCUCACUAACUUGUAGCAUGUCUCUAACUCUCAUUCUCUUACCAGCCGAGCGAGGUCGUUUCCCUCCUCCAGGGUUUCCUUCCACACCCUUCAAAUAAAACACAGAGCAUUUCAACUUUCCUGGCUUCUGAUUUUUCUGUUGUUUAUUUUACCCACAUCUCCUGGAGUGCUGCUGGUGGCAGGGAAUGGCAGUGAAGGUGAGUGCUGACGUGGUACUCACCACUCCCUAAGGGAUUUUUGCCCUGAGACACCAGCCAGUUGCUCAUGUGCUCCGUGGUGACAUGGGGAGGGACCUGGCCUUGACUCUGGAGCAGCAGAUAGUGGACCAUGAGCUUCUUCUGCAAGAUGAGGUAAGGUGUGAGACCGUGCCACGAAAUACCAUGUCAUUUACUUUCAGAAGGGCC
This 4962-nucleotide long non-coding RNA is filed under the name Oncorhynchus mykiss (rainbow trout). Its description in RNAcentral is "lncRNA (ENSOMYG00000069362.1)". Lineage: Eukaryota; Metazoa; Chordata; Actinopteri; Salmoniformes; Salmonidae. The record is from RNAcentral.